Molecule: ribosomal RNA, 467 nt
Filed under: uncultured bacterium
Lineage: Bacteria
Description: partial 16S ribosomal RNA
Rfam family: Bacterial small subunit ribosomal RNA
Source: RNAcentral
GACGAACGCUGGCGGCGUGCUUAACACAUGCAAGUCGAACGGAAAGGCCCUGCUUUUGUGGGGUGCUCGAGUGGCGAACGGGUGAGUAACACGUGAGUAACCUGCCCUUGACUUUGGGAUAACUUCAGGAAACUGGGGCUAAUACCGGAUAGGAGCUCCUGCUGCAUGGUGGGGGUUGGAAAGUUUCGGCGGUUGGGGAUGGACUCGCGGCUUAUCAGCUUGUUGGUGGGGUAGUGGCUUACCAAGGCUUUGACGGGUAGCCGGCCUGAGAGGGUGACCGGCCACAUUGGGACUGAGAUACGGCCCAGACUCCUACGGGGGGCAGCAGGGGGGAAUAUUGCAAAAGGGGCGGAAGCCUGAUGCAGCAACGCCGCGGGGGGGAUGACGGCCCUCGGGUUGUAAACCGCUUUCGCCUGUGACGAAGCGGGGGUGACGGUAAUGGGUAAAGAAGCACCGGCUAACUACGU